CCUACGGGUGGCAGCAGUGAGGAAUAUUGGUCAAUGGCCGAGAGGCUGAACCAGCCAAGUCGCGUGAGGGAAGACGGCCCUACGGGUUGUAAACCUCUUUUGUCGGGGAGCAAAGAGAGGCACGUGUGACUCAUUGAGAGUACCCGAAGAAAAAGCAUCGGCUAACUCCGUGCCAGCAGCCGCGGUAAUACGGAGGAUGCGAGCGUUAUCCGGAUUUAUUGGGUUAAAAGGGUGCGCAGGCGGAGGUGCAAGUCAGCGGUCAAAGUGCGGGGCUCAACCCCGUACUGCCGUUGAAACUGUAUCCCUUGAGUGCGCGAGAAGUAUGCGGAAUGCGUGGUGUAGCGGUGAAAUGCAUAGAUAUCACGCAGAACUCCGAUUGCGAAGGCAGCUUACCGGCGCGCAACUGACGCUCAUGCACGAAAGCGUGGGUAGCGAACAGGAUUAGAUACCCUUGUAGUC
This 459-nucleotide ribosomal RNA is filed under the name uncultured bacterium. RNAcentral's name for it is "partial 16S ribosomal RNA". It matches the Rfam family "Bacterial small subunit ribosomal RNA", at positions 338 to 795 of the family's 1533-position model. The record is from RNAcentral.